UACGUAGGGGGCGAGCGUUGUCCGGAAUUAUUGGGCGUAAAGAGCGUGUAGGCGGUUCGGUAAGUCUGCCGUGAAAACCUGGGGCUCAACCCUGGGCGUGCGGUGGAUACUGCCGGGCUAGAGGGUGGUAGAGGCGAGUGGAAUUCCCGGUGUAGCGGUGAAAUGCGCAGAUAUCGGGAGGAACACCAGUAGCGAAGGCGGCUCGCUGGGCCAUUCCUGACGCUGAGACGCGAAAGCUAGGGGAGCGAACGGG
RNAcentral lists this ribosomal RNA (253 nucleotides) under uncultured bacterium. Its description in RNAcentral is "partial 16S ribosomal RNA". It matches the Rfam family "Bacterial small subunit ribosomal RNA", at positions 524 to 776 of the family's 1533-position model. The record is from RNAcentral.